UGUGCCAGCAGCCGCGGUGAUACAGAGGGUGCAAGCGUUAAUCGGAAUUACUGGGCGUAAAGCGAGCGUAGGUGGCUUGAUAAGUCAGAUGUGAAAUCCCCGGGCUUAACCUGGGAACUGCAUCUGAUACUGUUAGGCUAGAAUAGGUGAGAGGAAGGUAGAAUUCCAGGUGUAGCGGUGAAAUGCGUAGAGAUCUGGAGGAAUACCGAUGGCGAAGGCAGCCUUCUGGCAUCAUAUUGACACUGAGGUUCGAAAGCGUGGGUAGCAAACAGGAUUAGAUACCCUGGUAGUCCACGCCGUAAACGAUGUCUACUAGUCGUUGGGUCCCUUGAGGACUUAGUGACGCAGCUAACGCAAUAAGUAGACCGCCUGGGGAGUACGGCCGCAAGGUUAAAACUCAAAUGAAUUGACGGGGGCCCGCACAAGCGGUGGAGCAUGUGGUUUAAUUCGAUGCAACGCGAAGAACCUUACCUGGUCUUGACAUAUCUAGAAUCCUGCAGAGAUGCGGGAGUGCCUUCGGGAAUUAGAAUACAGGUGCUGCAUGGCUGUCGUCAGCUCGUGUCGUGAGAUGUUGGGUUAAGUCCCGCAACGAGCGCAACCCUUGUCCUUAGUUACCAGCGGGUUAAGCCGGGAACUCUAAGGAUACUGCCAGUGACAAACUGGAGGAAGGCGGGGACGACGUCAAGUUAUCAUGGGCCGUUACGACCAGGGCUACACACGUGCUACAAUGGUAGGUACAGAGGGCAGCUACACAGCGAUGUGAUGCGAAUCUCAAAAAGCCUAUCGUAGUCCAGAUUGGAGUCUGCAACUCGACUCCAUGAAGUAGGAAUCGCUAGUAAUCGCGGAUCAGAAUGCCGCGGUGAAUACGUUCCCGGGCCUUGUACACACCGCCCGUCACACCAUGGGAGUUGAUUGCACCAGAAGUGGAUAGCCUAACCGUAAGGAAGGCGUUCACCACGGUGUGGUUGAUGACUGGGGUGAAGUCGUAACAAGGUAACCGA
RNAcentral lists this ribosomal RNA (1001 nucleotides) under uncultured bacterium. RNAcentral describes it as "bacterial SSU rRNA". It matches the Rfam family "Bacterial small subunit ribosomal RNA", at positions 504 to 1503 of the family's 1533-position model. The record is from RNAcentral.